RNAcentral lists this transfer RNA (74 nucleotides) under Candidatus Walczuchella monophlebidarum. RNAcentral describes it as "tRNA-Pro (TGG) (tRNA-Pro-TGG-1-1)". It matches the Rfam family "tRNA". Rfam says of the family: Transfer RNA (tRNA) molecules are approximately 80 nucleotides in length. Lineage: Bacteria; Pseudomonadati; Bacteroidota; Flavobacteriia; Flavobacteriales. The record is from Rfam by way of RNAcentral.
CGGAGUGUGGCGUAGUCUGGUAUCGCGCCUGGUUUGGGACCAGGAGGUCGCAGGUUCAAAUCCUGUCACUCCGA